This 442-nucleotide ribosomal RNA is filed under the name uncultured bacterium. RNAcentral describes it as "partial 16S ribosomal RNA". It matches the Rfam family "Bacterial small subunit ribosomal RNA", at positions 338 to 795 of the family's 1533-position model. The record is from RNAcentral.
CCUACGGGUGGCAGCAGUAGGGAAUCUUUCACAAUGGGCGAAAGCCUGAUGGAGCAACGCCGCGUGCAGGAUGAAGGCCUUCGGGUUGUAAACUGCUUUUAUAAGCGAGAAAUAUGAUGGUAACUUAUGAAUAAGGAUCGGCUAUCUACGUGCCAGCAGCCGCGGUCAUACGUAGGAUCCGAGCAUUAUCCGGAGUGACUGUGUGUAAAGAGUUGCGUAGGUGGCAUAAUAAGUAGCUAGUGAAAUCUGGUGGCUCAACCAUUCAGACUAUUAGCUAAACUGUUAAGCUCGAGACCGUUAGGGGUAACUGGAAUUUCUAGUGUAGGAGUGAAAUGCGUAGAUAUUAGAAAGAACACCAAUAGCGUAGGCAGGUUACUGGGACGGUUCUGACACUAAGGCACGAAAGCGUAGGGAGCAAACGGGAUUAGAUACCCGGGUAGUC